ACUCAAAGGAAUAGACGGGGGCCCGCACAAGCAGCGGAGCGUGUGGUUUAAUUCGAUGCAACGCGAAGAACCUUACCUGGGCUGGAACGCUCGUCGACCGUCGGUGAAAGCCGGCGUCCCUUCGGGGCGGCGGGCGAGGUGCUGCACGGCUGUCGUCAGCUCGUGCCGUGAGGUGUUGGGUUAAGUCCCGCAACGAGCGCAACCCCUGUCGCUAGUUGGACUUCUCUAGCGAGACUGCUGGGAGCAACCCAGAGGAAGGCGGGGAUGACGUCAAGUCAGCGUGGCCCUUACGUCCAGGGCGACACACACGCUACAAUGACCGGGACAGCGGGUCGCGACCCGGCGACGGGAAGCUAAUCCCUGAAACCCGGCCUCAGUUCAGAUUGCAGGCUGAAACCCGCCUGCAUGAAGGCGGAGUUGCUAGUAACCGCGGGUCAGCACACCGCGGUGAAUACGUUCCCGGGCCUUGUACACACCGCCCGU
This 483-nucleotide ribosomal RNA is filed under the name uncultured bacterium. RNAcentral's name for it is "partial 16S ribosomal RNA". It matches the Rfam family "Bacterial small subunit ribosomal RNA", at positions 899 to 1397 of the family's 1533-position model. The record is from RNAcentral.